GGCUGCGGGAUUCAGGAC
This 18-nucleotide microRNA is filed under the name Macaca mulatta (Rhesus monkey). Its description in RNAcentral is "mml-miR-604". Its record names the gene mml-miR-604. The record is from miRBase by way of RNAcentral. Lineage: Eukaryota; Metazoa; Chordata; Mammalia; Primates; Cercopithecidae.